UACAGAGGUGGCAAGCGUUGUUCGGAAUUACUGGGCGUAAAGGGCGCGCAGGCGGCUCUGAAAGUCAGAUGUGAAAGCCCCGGGCUUAACCUGGGAAUUGCAUUUGAUACUCUGGAGCUUGAGUACGGGAGAGGAGAGUGGAAUUCCCAGUGUAGAGGUGAAAUUCGUAGAUAUUGGGAAGAACACCGGUGGCGAAGGCGGCUCUCUGGACCGUAACUGACGCUGAGGCGCGAAAGCGUGGGGAGCAAACAGG
Molecule: ribosomal RNA, 253 nt
Filed under: uncultured bacterium
Lineage: Bacteria
Description: partial 16S ribosomal RNA
Rfam family: Bacterial small subunit ribosomal RNA
Source: RNAcentral